GCAUGGCUAUUCUUGCUUAGUCCAGACAUUGACAGAUGAUUGUCUACUCACCCAGUCUUUGCUAACGCAGGAAAUGAAGACAUUCAGCUGAAGGGGAGAAAGAGGUGGAAGGCCUUUCCCUUCUGGCUCCAGUAACAAGAGCAGAGAAAGACUCAGAACCCCAGCUGGCAAGAGAGGAAGAUAAAUAAGAAAAAACAAAACACGUCCUUGCACUACAAUGGAAUGUUUUAAAGAGAGGUGGAAAAUGCAAGGUCAGGGGCAGAUCUCAUUUUCUGGCAUCUCGGUGAGCAGCUCAGGGAGGAGGUGGGAUGCUGUCGCCUGGGUGCUUCCAGGGGCAAUCAGUUUUGGAGGGAACUCAUUUCGGGGGAGCACAGGGAGGGGGUGCAUCUUAACAGCUAAAGCAUCGGUGUUGAUUUCCCUUCCAGGGAAUACUGGUUUCCCUGGUAACAGAAAAGUCUGGCCUCCAAAGUUCUGACAGGGAGACUAGGCUCUUGGCCUGGGAUGCUCCUGACAAUUAUCCGAGGCCAAGGCUUCACUGUCCUGCUUGCCCCAGCAGUGAGCUGGGAGAGAGAGGCAUAAAAGUGCCAGCUCUGCAAAAAUAUAGCCACUGCUCCCCGUCUCUCCCCCACCCGGUGCUUGUGCAAGCGGCUACUCAUCCCUAGAUUCAUCGCUUUCCAGGGCUUUAUGGCUGAGCAGGUAAAAAUGCCAGAAGCAUCUUGGAAGCAAGCCCAAUUUGACAGUACCUGUGGACCCCAGGAGGCAGUAAAGGUGCAGGAGUUGGGGACAACAGUGGGCCAUUAAGAGGGCUUUGUGCAUGGUACUCAAGCUCUGACACAGUGACGGAGAGGACCUGCAUGGGAGCAGGGCAGGUCUCAUUUUCUCUCUAUGCUUGCGGACAGUUGCUCCUAGAUGUUCCAGAUUUAAAGCUCAUUUUUCCCCCCAGGGAGAAAUAUUACAAGGUCUGGCCUGAGAAGAUGCCAUCCGUGCAUCAGGAAGACAGGCCACAGAGCAGAGACACCUGGAGGCUUCAGGACAAGGCCCCAGUCCUUGAGCCCAUUUCCAGCAGACACAGCAAUGGGGGCCACAUCCAAAGGGCCUCUGACUGCAUCUUUCAUGGUCAUGAUCCAGUGACGAGAGUGAACAGCUCAGAGGGGGUGGGGGGCUCAGAGGGGGGCAACUGA
This 1181-nucleotide long non-coding RNA is filed under the name Cricetulus griseus (Chinese hamster). RNAcentral's name for it is "lncRNA (ENSCGRG00000024967.1)". Lineage: Eukaryota; Metazoa; Chordata; Mammalia; Rodentia; Cricetidae. The record is from RNAcentral.